Molecule: long non-coding RNA, 5054 nt
Filed under: Sus scrofa (pig)
Lineage: Eukaryota; Metazoa; Chordata; Mammalia; Artiodactyla; Suidae
Description: lncRNA (ENSSSCG00015044935.1)
Source: RNAcentral
AAAAAAAAAAAAAAAGUUCACUGUGAUGGUUGCGGCUGGUAUUGCACGGGGCCUCACCCUCCAGAGAGCAGUGUCCGCUGAACUGGGCUUUCCAAGGGGAGCAGCGCCAUCAGGGCUGGAGUAGUGCGGAAGGCCUGUUGGCGGGAGGAGGAGGGUGUGGCAGUGAUGCGGGCCUGUGUGAGGGGAUAGACGGGGGAGCAGGAGAAGUGAGCGUGGGGGGAAAGGGGCAUUUGGUUGAAGAGCCUGGAUCUGAGGGACCCUCAGAGACGGCGCAGGCCCAAACCCAUUUCGAGAGCAAUGCCAGGCCAUGAGGUCCAAGGUGCCACUUGAAUGACCUCAGUGUGAGCUGACAGAGGCGGCAGCAGCAGGAGAACCACGGCCACUGAGAACUGCUCAUGGUUUCCAGGAAACUUCCUGUGUGUGGAGGAGGGGCGCUCUUCCUGCGUGGGCCAGCUGGGCCUGAGAGAGGAGACCCUGCUGGGGGGCCCGGCCCCCGCUGCCCUCUCGGGCUGAGGCCAAGCUCUCGGGGGCCACUGGGGGAGUCAGAGCCUGAUGCCGGCAGACUGGCUGAGGCACAUUUGGGGGCCUCUGUCUCCCCUCCCACAACCUGCCUGGACAAAUUGCCUGGCCUUCUAACAGAGAUCAACCUGCCCCCCAUGAGGUGUGGGUGCGGGAGGAGCAGCUAGGUUGGGAGGUGGCAGCCCUGCGUCCCCAUCCCACAGUCUUGGAUUCAAAUCCAAGGACUUCUACUAGCCCAGCUUCGCCAGCCUUGAUUCCUUCAUCCUAAUUUGGGAGCUCUCCAAGGUUCCACCCAGCUGGACCAUUCAGGCAGUUCCUUGGUGUUCCUCCCCAGAGUUGGGAGAAACGGAGGCCCAGGAGCAAAGGGCCAGAGCCAGCCCAGGUGGGGGUCGCCCUGGAGCUCCUGCUUUGACCGCCUGCACCCUUCCCCCAUUGCUCCAGUGUCUUGCUUCCUCGCCCCAAUCUUCUUGUUUCUCGACACCUCUUUCCCCUCUGCCCAUGCUCCUCACCUGCCACCCCAGGGGUGGGUGGGUCACAAGUCAGAACCAGGAUGAGAACUCCCGGGGCCAUCCGCCAUCCGAGUGUACUCACUGGGAUGACCUCCUCUACCCACCUCCCAUCUGAAUCCUGCACAUACUUCAAUCCAGCUCAAACGGCACCUCCACCAGGAGGCCCCUCCAGAUCACCCCCGCCAGAGUCAUCACCUUACCAAGCCUUCCCCAUGCAUGCCACUUUACAAUACUGCCACUGGCAUUUUUACUUCCUUGCACUAUAAUUAUCUGUGCAUGCACCAUCGCUCCUUUACACAAUUCCGAACUCCUUGAACUUGGCAACCAAACUGCCCUCAUUUUGCCCACGCCUAUCAGCAGCCUCCCCUUUGACAUCUGAUGCGGUGUUUGUAUACCGAGUGUUGGAGAGAUAUAUUUGUGGAAUAAACAGAGUCCUCUUUAUGCGGAAGGAUUCUUUCAGAAUGAACGGUCAGGUGUGUAAGAGCAUCUGUCCUAGAACCACACUGGGUUGAAUCUUAGCUCCACCCUCUGCACACCAAGGGACCUUGGACAAGUUACGAACACCUGUGCCUCGGUUUCCCCACUUGUGAAAGGAAAAUAUUCAUAGUCCCCCUGCUUCAUAGGGUGGCUCUGAAGAUUUAAUGAGUCAUGGAUGUCAAGUAUUUUGAGGUCGUGCCCAGCACAGACUUGAUUCAGUAAGUGAAGCUGUUAGAUGUUUGCAAUCCUACAUACAAAUUCUUACUUGAUUUUUUUUUUUUUUUGAAAAAAAAAAAUACUGCGCCACCUUGCAAAUUCGAGUUCGGCUUUAGGUAGUGGCCAAAUCCUUUCCAAUUCCUGCAUUCACUGAAUCUGCAUCGGGUCCUCACUGCCAGCUGCAGUACCUCCCCGGCUGCACUAACUCGAAGCAGAGGGAAGGGAGAGUCAGGGCGCAUUGCUGGCGUAAGUGCUCACCGGCUUGGGGCUCGUGGCCACAUUAAGCACUCUUACUCAAUUCAUGUGACUCGACAAAUUUGGAAUGUGUUAGGGAGAGAGAGUUUUUCCAGCUAUGAGUCAGUAUAUUUAUGCUCUCUCACACACACAUUAAAAAUUUUUAAAAAGAGAGCUUAGCAAGCAUCAUUUAUGAGUGCAAAGUGGAAAGCUCUGGAAACUGUAUUUUGACCCUGAAGGCAAGUCAUACUUAGGAUCAUUAAUAAACAGUCUGGAAGAGGAUGCAGUGGAGAGAAAACACAGCUAGCUGCCUUUUCCUUCCGUAUCUCAGCUGUUGCAUUGCACAUAGGAGGACCUGAGGUACACAGGUUUAUAAAGCACCUCCUGGAUACUGGGAUUUAUUCUAAAUGUAGUGGGGAAAUAGGUGAAAGAAGGGAGGCAGAACCAGCAUUUAUUAAGCACCUAUUAUGUGCUAGAUCAUCGGCGCUGGGGUGGGGGUACACGUCCCCAGUUCAAGAGGCAGUGUGGGAAAAGCGGAACGGUUGUAUUUAGACAUGCUUAGGUUCAAAACUCGGCCAAGCCUACUUUCAUAAUGUUAUCUGAGCCCCGCCUGCUCCCAUUUUAUGGAUGACAGAACUGAGUCUCAGAGAAGAGAAAAUAAUGUGUCUACGGACACAAAGCUUUUAAAUGAUAGAAACCACAUUCAAAACUGGGUCUGCGAGUCUCCCGCUGGUAGAGAAAUUCCGAUUCAACGAACGCCCCUGGGAGCUGAGUUUCCCCACCAAGGAAGGAGGCGUCCACUCACAUUCGCACAUCCUGAGCAGGUUCCACUUUCUCGCAGACCCAUCUCUUUAACCAGCUUCUGCCACUGGCCUUUGCAUCCCGCGCUUUGGGGAUUAUGACUGGCUGCUGGUCCAGGCUGAUCCUCUCUGCUGUUGUUUACUUUAGAGAAAGAAACCACCUCCCGUCCAGAGGGCUUGUGUUUCCAGCUCACUUACAUCUCUUUUGCGAGGGCUCAUUUUCAUGGAUUCCCAGUCUCCAGGGAGCUGUGUCCUUCCCUCAGAAACAUGAGCUGUAAUCAAAGGUGUGUGUAUUCAACCCCACACAUCUGCCAGCAGCCGCACCGGAGCCACAGUUCCCAGAGGCCUGACAGAAGGAGGUUCAGGCCAGGUGCCCCGGGGAGAAUUUUUCCCUACACAAAUCAGAUUGCCCUGUGGUUGCCCUUUGUAAAGAUGGCAGGGUCCCAGGUGGUGCUUCUCCGAUGCUGGAGGACCUGUCGGGGCUGGGGUAAACAGGAUUCCUCUAUCCAUUCAGCAAAUACUUUGAAGGCCACCAUGUGCUGAGAAUUGCAGACACCGAGAACCCAACUCUUUGGUGACUUCCCAACACUCACAGGGGUAAAGACCCAACUUUUUUUUUCCUUUUAUGGCCGCACCUGUGACAUAUAGAAGCUCCCGGGCCAGGGAUUGAAUCCUAGGUGUUACUGCGGCAACCCAGGAUCAUUGAACCCCACUGAGCCAGGCCAGGGAUUUAACCCACGCCUCCACAGUGACCCCACCUGCUGCAGUCGGAUUCUUCACUCACUGGGCCAUGGCAGGAACUCCAAGACCCAACUUCUUAAAGGCCCGCAAGUGCCCGGAAGAGCUGGCUCUUGCUCUUUCUCUGGCCUGCUUGGCCAGGGCCACUCUGGCGGCCAGGUUCCACUGCUUGGUGUCCAGCAUGCCUCCUCUUGCCUCAGCCCCAUCACACUCCCCCUGGCUUUCUUGAGUCUUCCUACCCCUCUUGGCCUGGUUUGCUGCUGCUUGCCUUUCCGAUUGAGCUGCCAUCCUCCCAUCUGCUGUACCUUCAAAUGCCAUAUCUCCUUACCACCAUUGCAUGGGCUUCAGUUGGCACCAUCAUCUCACUGGAGUCUUCCUCUCCAACCCAACUGCAAGGGCAGGGCUCACCUUCUCUCCCUGGCACUGCUCCAUAGUCAGUGCCCAUAAGAGUUGUUGGGAGGGAGUCCCCACCAUGGCGCCACGGGAUCAGUGGCAUUGCUGGAGCACUGGGAUGCAGGUUUGAUCCCCAGCCAGGCACCGUGGGUUAAGGUAGCUACAGCAUAGGUCAAAACUGCAGCUCGACUCAAAUCUGAUCCCUGGCUGGGGAACUCCAUAUGCUGCAGGGCGCCAAAAAAGAAGGAGGGAGAAAAAAAAAAGUUGUUGGGGUAUGUAGAAGCAGAAGUGAGCUAAGUAGACGCUGCCCUGCUCAGUCCUGGGCACUUCUUGGAAUGUUGGUUGAACUUGACAGUUCCGAGGGGGGAAUAUUUGGAGACAAAUACAGAUCAAUUCUAGAGUGGAAUCCAAUGUCCUCGUUACCUCGGGGAGGUUAGGAACGCAGCCUCCUUUGUACUCUUGCAGAGCCCUUGUGGAAGAGUAGCUCGGGGUUGGUUGGAGAGAUGGCCCAGUUUGCCAGCAAUGCUAGUCACGGAGUCCAAGUUUAAGAGGCCGCGUGGGUGGGAAAUGAAAAGACUAUGUUUAGUCAGACCCGAGUGGAAACUUUAGUGCUGGACAUUUUACUCUCAUGACUUGGGGCAAUGCAUUUGAUCCCUCUACGAUUCAGGUUUGUCCUCUGUAAAAUGGGUAUAUGAAUACCUGCUCCCCAGAAUUGCUGUGGGAGAGAGAGGUGAACUAUGUAGAGGGCCCAGCCCAGCACCCAGUGCAGAGCAAGCACUCGGAAGUGGUGCCUUGGUGAUAGCUGUGAUAGAGUGAUAGCUGGUCACUCUUCGAAAUUAAAGGCUGUUGUUGGUGUGCAAAGCGAAACAUUUUCUGGAGCAAAGACAGGCAACUUAAGAUUGCACUUCCAGGGAGUUCCUUUCAUGGCUCAGCACUAACGAUACUAGACAAGUAUCCAUGAGGAUUCGGGUUUGAUCCCUGGCCUCACUCAGUGGGUUAAGGAUCCAGUGUUGCCUUGAGCUGCGGUGUAGAUCGCAGACAUGGCUCAGAUCAUGCAUUGCUGUGGCUGUGGCGUAGGCCAGCAGCUGCAGCUCUGAUUGGACCCCUAGCCUGAGACCUUCCAUAUGCCGCAGGCAUGGCCCUAAAAAAGAAGGAAAAAAAAAAAAAA